ACACACCGGUGGCUUCGAGGCUAAACAUAUAAAAGGUGAGAUUUUACGUUUUCAGGCAUUUUCCCCCUUCCUUUCUCUCUCUAUCCUCAUAAGCUAUCCUCUCUCUCUCUCUCUCUCUCUCUCUCUCUCUCUCUCUCUCUCUCGCGAUCUAAAACCUUGGUUCAUAUCUUCAUCUCCCAAAAACCCUAACCUACUUUGGUUUUGUUCUUUAACUCUUUGAUGGUUCUCGGAAAAAAAAAAAAAAAAAAAAGCCCUUUGUUGCUCUUUCUUUCAACUCCCUUGAAUGAUCUGAAACCCUGGUUCAGAUUUUCAUCUCCCUUUGUUUUCUCACUCCUUGAAAACUCCCUUGAUUUCCCUUAUCUAUCCUAUUUUAAACUAUUAGAAAACCUAACCCUUUGUCCUUUCAAAAAAUCAAGAACCCUAAUUCUUAUUUUACAGCUUCCCUCUUUCUCUGUUAAAUUGUUACCCCAAAUUUGUUCGCCUUUAUAGUGGCGAAUUGUAAAACACCCGAGGGUGUUCCAAUGGUGAAGUUCGGUGCUAGAUCUAGGAUGGGGGGUCUAUUCGGUUCUCGAAGGUGCAAUAGAUAAGUAUUACCCCCUACUCAAUCUUUUUGUUUUUUUUUUUUGUGCGUGAUUGUGUGUAUGAUCCGUCAUUACAUGUGGGUUAAGUGUUGAUCUGAUGUUGUGUGCUCGUGUUUAAGCGAUUCUAGGGUUUUCAAAUCCAAAGGUUAGGGUUCAGGGACGAGUCAACUCGUCCGAACCCUAACCCGUUGAGUUGCUACGGGGUUGACUCGCAUGAGUCAACCCCUGGGUUAUGUGGGCUUAGAUGUGCCCCGAGUGGGCCUAGGGGACUUGACACGUGUUGGGUUUGGGUUAAAAUGUGUUGUGGGCUUAGUUUCUUUUUUAAAGAAAAUGGGCUUCGGGUUAAAAAAAAAAAAGUCAAUUGGCUUAGGUUUAAAAUGUUUGGUGGGCUCGGGUUCUUUUAAAAACAUGGGCUUGGGUUAUUUAAAAUAAAUGGACUCGGGUUUUAAAAAGUUAGUGGGCUCGGGUUCUUUUAAAAACAUGGGCUUGAGUUAUUUAAAAUAAAUGGACUCGGGUUUAAGAAAAAUUAGUGGGCUCAAGUUUUUUAAAAACAUGGGCCUGGGUUAUUAAAAAUAAAUGGGCUCGGGUUUAAGAAAAAUUAGUGGGCUCGAGUUCUUUUAAAAACAUGGGUCUGGGUUAUUAAAAAUAAAUGGGCCCAGGUUUAAUAAAAAUUAGUGGGCUCGAGUUCAAAAAAUGUUUUGCGAGCCUAGGUUCUUUAAAGUGGGCUUUGGGUCUCUUUUUUAAAAUAGAUGGGCUUGGUGGUUUUCUAAAACGUUUGUGUGCUUGCUUUCUUUUUUAACGUGUGGGCCUUAAGGGGGCUUAGAAGUGAGUCAGGCUGAAUGGGACUUGGUUAGGGUUUGGUUCAGUUAUGGGUUCAGUGGGACUAAGACAGGUUCAAUUCAGGUUCAGGUUCAGGUUCAGGGGGCUUGGUCGGGGUUCAGUUCAGGUUUAGGUUUAGGAUUGAACACAAAUUUGGGUUUGAGUUCCUACAUUCAGAGUCUCAUACACAGUCUAAUAUUAUAAGCCAAGAAGGAAAAGCCUUCAGUUACCUUGUGUCUUCCUCUCCUCUGGUCUUCUUGUCCUUCUUGUGAGUCUGUUAGGUAUUGGUCUAGGGUGUCCUUCUGGGGAUGACUUCUAAGUUCUGAAUGUAGGCACUACAGAGCCCCUUCUUCAAAUGGGGUGGUCAGGCAACGGGUGUGCCUUUUAAGGGGAUGCCUCUGAUUUUUGAGAGCCUUGUAGGAUUGCUACUACUUUGAAAACUUCUUCAGGAACUUCUUUCUUUCGGCCUCUAUCUGUCUUCCUUGCUCUCAGUAUGCACUCCUUCUCUUCUUCGCUCAAUUUUUUGUGUAUUACUUUGUGCGAGACUCCCCUAUUUAUAGGGUUGGUCCUAAGUCAGCUUAGGUAAGGUUAGGUCAGUCUUUUUUCUUUCUUCUUUCCUUCCUAGCAGCAAUCAAUUGUUGGCUUUCCUUCUAACAGCGAUCCAUUCCCAAAUUCUUGCGAUUGGGCUAAUUCUCCAAUUAAUGGAGAUUCUAGGCGCGAGUCUGAGGAGGGAACAUUUCAAAUUUUGUCUAACAUUUUGCAAUAUUCACUAGGAGAUUGUUUCCAAAUUGGUUUUCCACUAAGGGAACCUGAAGAUGCUUUAGCAUAUUCCAGUGUGUGCCAAUUGAAGAUUUUUUAUUUUCAAUAUUUUCCUUAUAUUUCCUUUGUAUUUAUUGUAUUCCUUUGUACUUCCCUAUAUUGUACAUUAUUUCCCUGUAUUGUAUUUCUAUGUAUCUCAACAUUUCUCUAUACUUCAGCACUCCCCGUAUUCCUUGUACCUCAUGACUUGGGCAUGUGGCCACUUAAUAAAAUGUUUAUUUGGUCAC
Molecule: long non-coding RNA, 2446 nt
Organism: Malania oleifera
Lineage: Eukaryota; Viridiplantae; Streptophyta; Magnoliopsida; Santalales; Ximeniaceae
Exons: 2
Source: RefSeq, a predicted model, not a curated record